This is a long non-coding RNA of Nyctereutes procyonoides (raccoon dog), 553 nucleotides long. RefSeq lists it as uncharacterized. The transcript has 3 exons. The record is from RefSeq and is a predicted model, not a curated record. NCBI's taxonomy places the organism in Eukaryota, Metazoa, Chordata, Mammalia, Carnivora, Canidae.
UCCUCCGCGCUGGGCUGCGCCGAGGGCCGCGCGGUUCCGUGACGCUGCGCGCCUGCCUCGCCCGGCGCGCGCCGUCUCCGCGUUCUUUCACGCGGGGCGAUGCGGGAGUCCGUGUAGAGAUGAAGAAAGGGGACCCCGAGAGAGAGGCGGAGACACAGGCAGAGAGGGAGAAGCAGGCUCCCUCUGGGGAGCCCGAUGCGGGACUCGAUCCCAGGACCCCGGGACCACGACCUGCGCCAAACGCAGACGCUCAACCGCUGAGCCACCCAGUUUGUGUUUCAGCUGUUCAUCUGUUGAACAAUUGAGUAUUUACCGUGUGCCAGGAAAUGGAACUUAGAAUAGUGGCCCCGAUAAAAAGAAAUAACAGGGCCCAGAUUGAAGUCACUGUUGAAAAAACCCCACUACAGGGACGCCUGGUGGCUCAGCGGUUGAGCGCCUGCCUUCAGCCCAGGGCGUGAUCGUGGAGACCCGGGAUCCAGUCCCACGUCGGGCUCCCUGCAUGGAGCCUGCUUCUCCCCCUGCCUGUGUCUCUGCCUCUCUGUGUCUCUCAUGA